CCUACGGGAGGCUGCAGUGGGGAAUAUUGCACAAUGGGCGCAAGCCUGAUGCAGCCAUGCCGCGUGUGUGAAGAAGGCCUUCGGGUUGUAAAGCACUUUCAGCGGGGAGGAAGGCGGUGAGGUUAAUAACCUCAUCGAUUGACGUUACCCGCAGAAGAAGCACCGGCUAACUCCGUGCCAGCAGCCGCGGUAAUACGGAGGGUGCAAGCGUUAAUCGGAAUUACUGGGCGUAAAGCGCACGCAGGCGGUCUGUCAAGUCGGAUGUGAAAUCCCCGGGCUCAACCUGGGAACUGCAUUCGAAACUGGCGGGCUAGAGUCUUGUAGAGGGGGGUAGAAUUCCAGGUGUAGCGGUGAAAUGCGCAGAGAUCUGGAGGAAUACCGGUGGCGAAGGCGGCCCCCUGGACAAAGACUGACGCUCAGGUGCGAAAGCGUGGGGAGCAAACAGGAUUAGAUACCCUUGUAGUC
This 465-nucleotide ribosomal RNA is filed under the name uncultured Klebsiella sp. RNAcentral describes it as "bacterial SSU rRNA". It matches the Rfam family "Bacterial small subunit ribosomal RNA", at positions 338 to 795 of the family's 1533-position model. Lineage: Bacteria; Pseudomonadati; Pseudomonadota; Gammaproteobacteria; Enterobacterales; Enterobacteriaceae. The record is from RNAcentral.